AAGAAUGCUAGAGUGAUGUUGGACUGAAAAUAAGCGGUUUCCAGCUGUACAGGUUAAAGUUAAUGAUAGACUAAAAUUAAGAUUAGGAUUAAAGAUGUUUAAAGAAAUGGAAAUCUGACAAUUAAGAGGGAAAAUUUUAACGUUAUAUUAUACUAAGAUUAAAGAUCAGGUUUAAAGAAAUUGAAGAUAUAUAUUACAAUAUUAUAUUAAAGUUAAAGAUUGGGAUUAAAAAAGUUGAAAAGAAAUUGCUGGACAAACAAUUUGGAUUGGAAUACAAAAGAGGGAGGUAUGAGGAAGUCCAGAAAAUAAGUAAACUAAAAAACGGAAAUGGAAAAGAGAUAUUGUUUUUAAUUGUUAUGUUUUUUGUUUUUUAUUGUUGAAUUGUGUUCUUUUUUGUGUGUUCUUGUUAUCUUUUUUUCUUCUUUAGAGAUAUGUAUUGUGUAUGUUUUUCUUUUCUUUCUUUGUUGUUCAAAACUUAAAUAAAAAUUAUU
Podarcis lilfordi (Lilford's wall lizard) is the source of this 491-nucleotide non-coding RNA. Lineage: Eukaryota; Metazoa; Chordata; Lepidosauria; Squamata; Lacertidae. The record is from the annotation of a GenBank genome assembly.